Molecule: unclassified non-coding RNA, 263 nt
Filed under: soil metagenome
Description: partial contains small subunit ribosomal RNA, internal transcribed spacer 1, and 5.8S ribosomal RNA
Source: RNAcentral
UUUCCGUAGGUGAACCUGCGGAAGGAUCAUUACCGAGUGAAAGGCUUGAACAGAGCCCCAUCUCCCAACCCUUGUCUUCUGUACCCACUUUGCUUUGGCAGGCCCGCCACUAUUGUGGCCGCCGAAGGAUUCUUAGUUAUAAAUCAUUAGCUAAACCUUGGGCCCGUGCCUGCCAGGGAACUUAAAUACAUGUUAUGAAACCGGUUUGUCUGAGAAUCCAAAGAAAAUAACUAAAACUUUCAACAACGGAUCUCUUGGUUCUG